CGGUUAUAAAAUGAAAGGAACAAGAGAAUGUAUCUCAACUAGGCCAAUACGACGCCGUAGUGAUGGUUAUCGCAUGUUGCGGUUCGGGGAGAUGUUUGCGAUUGCUGACUGGAGGCGUGACUCGCGAGUGGCGUCGACGUGAUUUCCACGCCCUUGGGCCCCACCUACAAGGACGACGACUCAAGCAGGACACAAUCCCGCAUGCUUUCGUUUCGUUGUUUUAACAUCCUAUUUCCGUGCUUCGCCUAACCUUUGACGGUCCAACCUGCAUUUUCAAAAUCACAUUAUUUGUUGAUUAAAAUAAAUUUAAAAAAAUUAAAAAUGAGGUCAGCUUAAACUUCGCAUAUAAAGAGCUCACAUACAACACAAUCUUCGGCAUCUUCAUCAUCGGAGCCAGUCACGACUUUUCAACCCCCAUCUUCCCUCCUGCACGCGCUUUCUUUUUCUUCUCUCUU
This 455-nucleotide long non-coding RNA is filed under the name Citrus sinensis (sweet orange). RNAcentral's name for it is "long non-coding RNA (CSIN_LNC001451)". The record is from RNAcentral. Lineage: Eukaryota; Viridiplantae; Streptophyta; Magnoliopsida; Sapindales; Rutaceae.